This 429-nucleotide ribosomal RNA is filed under the name uncultured bacterium. RNAcentral describes it as "bacterial SSU rRNA". It matches the Rfam family "Bacterial small subunit ribosomal RNA", at positions 28 to 498 of the family's 1533-position model. The record is from RNAcentral.
GAUGAACGCUGGCAGUAUGCUUUACACAUGCAAGUCGUACGGGAGUUUUUAACUCAAGUGGCGGACGGGUGAGUAACACGUAAGAAUUUACCUUUAGGAGGGGGAUAACAACUGGAAACGGUUGCUAAUACCCCAUAUGCUUUCGAGUGAAAUGGAAUUUUCCGCCUAGAGAGAAGCUUGCGGCUGAUUAGCUUGUUGGUGUGGUAAUGGCUCACCAAGGCGACGAUCAGUAUCUGGUUUGAGAGGACGAUCAGACACACUGGAACUGAGACACGGUCCAGACUCCUACGGGAGGCAGCAGUGGGGAAUUUUCCGCAAUGGGCGAAAGCCUGACGGAGCAAUACUGCGUGAGGGAUGACGGCCUAUGGGUUGUAAACCUCUUUUUCAGGGAGGAAUAAAUGACGUGUACCUGAAGAAUAAGCAUCGGCU